Molecule: signal recognition particle RNA, 299 nt
Filed under: Saimiri boliviensis boliviensis (Bolivian squirrel monkey)
Lineage: Eukaryota; Metazoa; Chordata; Mammalia; Primates; Cebidae
Description: Metazoan signal recognition particle RNA (ENSSBOG00000005791.1)
Rfam family: Metazoan signal recognition particle RNA
About the family: The signal recognition particle (SRP) is a universally conserved ribonucleoprotein.
Source: RNAcentral
GCCCGGCACAGUGGCGUGUGCCUGUAGUCCCAGCUACUCAGAAAGCUGAGGUGGGAGGAUCGCUUGAGCCCAGGAGUUCUGGGCUGUAGUGCAGUAUGCCGAUCAGGUGUCCUCACUAAGUUCAGCAUCAAUAUGGUGACCUCCCAGAAGUAGGGGACCACCAGGUUGCAUAAGGAGGGGUGAACCGGCCCAGGUCGGAAACAGAGCAGGUCAAAACUCCCGUGCUGAUCAGUAGUGGGAUCGUGCCUAUGAGUAGCCACUGCACUCCAGCCUGGGCAACAUAGUGAGACCCUGUCUCU